This 535-nucleotide ribosomal RNA is filed under the name Vittaforma corneae. Its description in RNAcentral is "SSU rRNA". It matches the Rfam family "Microsporidia small subunit ribosomal RNA", at positions 42 to 609 of the family's 1311-position model. The record is from RNAcentral. Lineage: Eukaryota; Fungi; Microsporidia; Nosematidae.
AUUAAGCCAUGCAUGUUUCCGCAAUCAGGGACGAAUAGCUCAGUAAAACUGCGAUGAUUUAGUCUGGCUGUGUAGAUAACUACGUGAAAAUGUAGCUAAGGGAAGGCAGAAUAAGACGCAGGACUAUCAGUUAGUUGGUAGUGUAAUGGACUACCAAGACAGUGACGGUUGACGGGAAAUUAGGGUUUUGUACCGGAGAGGGAGCCUGAGAGAUUGCUCCCACGUCCAAGGACGGCAGCAGGCGCGAAAAUUGCCCACUCUUUGCAGGAGGCAGUUAUGAGACGUGAAGAUGAGUAUCUUGUAAAGAGGGAUAGGAGAAUUGGAGGGCAAGUUUGGUGCCAGCAGCCGCGGUAAUACCGACUCCAAGAGUGUGUAUGAGAGAUGCUGCAGUUAAAAAGUCCGUAGUCAUAGAAGGGCAAAGAGAGAUGCGAGGUCUCACAGUGCGAUGAUGGAGGAGCCGAUGGGGAACAUAGUAUACCAGGGCGAGAGAUGAAAUGCCAAGACCCCUGGUGGACUGAGCGAGGCGAAGGCGAUG